RNAcentral lists this long non-coding RNA (363 nucleotides) under Sorghum bicolor (sorghum). RNAcentral describes it as "long non-coding RNA (SBIC_LNC007389)". The record is from RNAcentral. Lineage: Eukaryota; Viridiplantae; Streptophyta; Magnoliopsida; Poales; Poaceae.
UUGUAAGGACUUCAGUUCUGAAUUGGCUGCUGCGGCUGCUGCUGAGCGGGAGGGCCAUGAGGCGGCUGCUGUCCUGCACCUUCUUGCGGUGGUUGCUGAGAUGAACUAGCCUGUGCCUGUGCUGGCUGUGCUAGCAUCGGCUGGUAAGGUGGAUAUUGUGGUGGGUAGGGCAUGCGUGGUGGAGGCAUGUAGCCACCAUAUGGUGGUGGAGGUGGAUAAUAUGGUGGAUACUGACCAUGGUAGUAUGGCGGUGGUGCAGGAUAGCCACCCUGUGCUGAGCUGCUUGAUGGCUGAGCUUGCCCAGCUUGCUGCGGCCCUGGUUUGCCUUCACCGUCCUGUGAUUUUACUAUAGCACCCAUCCUC